Molecule: long non-coding RNA, 2671 nt
Filed under: Homo sapiens (human)
Lineage: Eukaryota; Metazoa; Chordata; Mammalia; Primates; Hominidae
Description: HSALNT0300775
Source: RNAcentral
GCAUUAUAUCCUUUUAAUACAGAGAGGAAAGGAACCUCAGGGAUCAAGUUCAAUGCCUUUCAUUAUUUGAAUUUUAAAGUCAUCUUGACACGGUUAUGGAAUCCUGGAUUUGUGAGAGAAUUAUUGGGUUCCAGAUCUAAAAUCACCAGGAUUUAUCAAGUAUGGUGCCUGACGCAUAGUAAGUAUUUUUUUAAUGCUUGUUCCAUUAAAGUAACCGAACCACAUCUUAUAUUUGGCAAUUUGAUUACCUGCUCUGAGCUUUGUUUUUAAUAUGUGUACAACACAAAUUAUAUCACAAGGUAAAAUAAAUUCGCCAAGCUUUAAGCUCCCUAGAGUGUUUUACAGUGAUUUCUGAGAGUUCUACAUGGUACAUCUCAGAUGCUCAGAAAUCCUUUUCUCUUUCUUCAGCCUCCUCCUUCAGCUGCCCUGAGGCUGCCUUUGCUGGCUGCUUCUGCUACUGCUGCUCUGAGAAAGGGAACCGUGUUCUUGGUGUUGUGCUCUAUCCCUUUAACUUCUCACUGGUCUGCAGAGACCAGGCAGUAUCAGUUAAUUGGAUUUUAUCAAAAAUCCUCUGAUACUAUAUGAGGGACACAAUCUAGAGAAUCAUAUGCAGCCCUGCAGCUUUCUCCAGCCAGUCACAGAGUUGGUAUUCAAAAACUAAGAAUUACUGAUGUGCUCAGUAAUAGAAGCACUCUGAAACAAGAAAGCAGAUGUCCCAAUCCAGACCAAUUUUCCUCUUGAUGAAGCAUUAGAGAUUGAGUUCAGAACCACAUUUUUAUCCUUCAUAGUCCAUUGUCAGUAAUCAUGUAACGCGCUCUUCAUGGGUCUCAUUCCUAUACAUUUCAGAAUGUAGCUUCUAUUACUCUCAAUCAGUCUUUUUAUCAUCUUCUCCAAAUCUAGCUAAAGACUUCCUUCCAGCUUAGUGACAUGGGCCUUUCCUGGCGGUCUCUGAUCAUGUCUUCUUACGAGCUAGUCUACUUAACUAGCACUCUGGUUUCUACACAUCGAUUAAGUAGGUAUUUGCUAGGUUACAACCUUGACUUUUUCUCUUACCCACAUGAAUCAGACUAGUGUAAAACUUGAGUACGAGCUUAGGAGUAGGCUAUACUGGCCAUUUAUUAAGUGGUGUGUCCUUUAGUAGUUACAUAAUGUUUCUAUGACUUAGCAUCCAUGAUCGGUAAAAUGAAGUGAAAAAUAAUUGCUUACAUUUUAGUGAACACUUACGAUGUGCCAGGUACUGUUAUAAACACUUUAUAUGCAUUAAGUUACUUCUUAUCACAGCUUUAGGGGGUUAUUAUCAGAACACUGAAACACAGAGAAGUUAAAUAAUUUGCCCCAAAUGACAUGGAUAUUAAACAGCUGAGCCAGGAUUUGAAUAUAGGUAGUUCAGCCCCCGUGUUAAUUGCUACAUUAUGCUGCUUCUCAAUAAUGAUAUUCUUUACUCAUAGGAUUCAUAUGCAAUUCAAAUAAAAUAAUGCAUGUAAAGCUCUUAGUGUAGUUACUGCAUAAAUUAAAUGCCUAGAUAAUGUUAACUCAAUGUUUCUUUUAUUGUUAAUUUUUCUUUUGGUGGGUUACAUUGAUAUCAAUGGUAGUGUUCCUACUCCAUAUAUUCUGAUACAUGAUUUCUUUUUUAUCUAAGCUCUUUUUGUUUUCAUUACUGGUUUUUGCUCUUAUAUCCAUCCAUGUGUCCAUCCAUCCAUCCAUCCAUCCAUCCAUCCUUCCUUCCAUCCAUCCUUCCAUCCUCAGUUUAUUCAUUCUUAGAAGACUUACACCACCCAUUUUUCUUAGGUAGUCUUCCCUGAUCACACAUAGGGGUCUAUUCAUCCUGCUAAUAUCUGCAGCUCCAACUGUUAUCUGCCAUACUUUUUAAAUCCACCAACAAUAUCUUGUUUUAUAAUCAUAUAUAUUUGCAAUAUUUUCCCUAACUAGAAUCUAAGUCCUUUAAUAACAAAGACCAUAAAUGUGUACUCUCAUUGUAUCUCUCAUAGUUCAUGGUUGGAAUUUGUGACCUUCUUUGCCUUUGUUGUAUCACCUUUCCUUAGAUGAGAUCUUACCAUGGUGAGAAAAGAAGCUUAUAUUUAUAGUCAAUAAAUUUCCAACCCUAUGUGAUUUUCUGUUAUUAAAUAUUUUUCUCUCCAUUGAUAAAUAUUUUAUUAAAGAUCAACAAGCUGUUUACUCCCAUCCACACCCCUAUCUCCACAUAGGAUGUUCUAUCUUAAAAGAUUCUGAUGUGUCUGUCUUCUGGAUAGUUCCAAAUAACAGAUCCAGCAUAUCACAAGAAGACAGCUCACAGCAGAGUUCUGACUGUGCUGUCUAACUGCGGAUACUGUGCUAUAGGUCUCUUCUAAAGAACUUGCUUGAAACUUUCAAAUGUUGCCUUAGAGGAACAUUCCCAAAUUACAUGUUAUAGAUAUUAUGCUAAAAGGUUUUCACAGUUAAAUACAUUUUGCAAGCAGUAUCCUAAACAAGAUAAAAAUAUUACUUUACUGCAGUACAUCUUAGAGCCAGCAUUAUGCUAAUGUACUGAAUAUACCAAUGUGGGAAAAAGUAUGCAGCAUUUUCUAAAAUUAUUUGACCAUGGGAAGCUAUUUUUCAGAGAUUCUCUCAUUUCAUGGACUGGAAUUGAGAAAAAUGUUCUUGGGAAACACUGCAUGAAGAAUUCAAUCCUUUG